This 75-nucleotide transfer RNA is filed under the name Caudoviricetes sp. RNAcentral's name for it is "tRNA-OTHER". It matches the Rfam family "tRNA". Rfam says of the family: Transfer RNA (tRNA) molecules are approximately 80 nucleotides in length. Their secondary structure includes four short double-helical elements and three loops (D, anti-codon, and T loops). Further hydrogen bonds mediate the characteristic L-shaped molecular structure. tRNAs have two regions of fundamental functional importance: the anti-codon, which is responsible for specific mRNA codon recognition, and the 3' end, to which the tRNAs corresponding amino acid is attached (by aminoacyl-tRNA synthetases). tRNAs cope with the degeneracy of the genetic code in two manners: having more than one tRNA (with a specific anti-codon) for a particular amino acid; and 'wobble' base-pairing, i.e. permitting non-standard base-pairing at the 3rd anti-codon position. The record is from RNAcentral. Lineage: Duplodnaviria; Heunggongvirae; Uroviricota; Caudoviricetes.
GCAACAAUAGCUCUAACGGUAGAGGCAGGAUCCUGUUAAUCCUGAGGUGUGCGGUUCGAUCCCCACUUGUUGCGA